RNAcentral lists this ribosomal RNA (253 nucleotides) under uncultured bacterium. RNAcentral's name for it is "partial 16S ribosomal RNA". It matches the Rfam family "Bacterial small subunit ribosomal RNA", at positions 524 to 776 of the family's 1533-position model. The record is from RNAcentral.
UACGGAGGGGGCUAGCGUUGUUCGGAAUUACUGGGCGUAAAGCGCGCGUAGGCGGCUUUGCAAGUCGGGUGUGAAAUCCCCAGGCUUAACCUGGGAACUGCAUUCGAGACUGCAUUGCUAGAGUAUGGGAGAGGGAAGUGGAAUUUCCGGUGUAGCGGUGAAAUGCGUAGAUAUCGGAAGGAACAUCAGUGGCGAAAGCGACUUCCUGGACCAAUACUGACGCUCAUGUGCGAAAGCGUGGGGAGCAAACAGG